AUUUUUUUUUUUUUUUUUUGGUUAAUUGAUGAAGGUGAAAGUUUAGCGUCCCCCAGUUAUAGUCUGCUGAUGUGUGUAAGUAUGUGCGUACGAGUUAUUUGUAUGAUUAGACUUUAAGCAGAUGAACUUUGCUGCUACAGUGAAUUAUAUGAAUUCAAUUUAUUUUGCUCUGUGCUGUUGUAAUCAACCAAACAAUUUUUCUAUCUAGGUUCCACUCUAUGUGGCAACAA
RNAcentral lists this unclassified non-coding RNA (230 nucleotides) under Hevea brasiliensis (rubber tree). Lineage: Eukaryota; Viridiplantae; Streptophyta; Magnoliopsida; Malpighiales; Euphorbiaceae. The record is from RNAcentral.